Molecule: long non-coding RNA, 721 nt
Organism: Hyla sarda
Lineage: Eukaryota; Metazoa; Chordata; Amphibia; Anura; Hylidae
Exons: 4
Source: RefSeq, a predicted model, not a curated record
CCUUGAAACGCGUCUAGAAUUGUGUAUUCUACUUGCAUCUAUCUAUAAUCAUCUCCAUAUCCCAGCUCUAUACCGAACUCUAUUUGAAACAGCUGGAAGCCCCCAGUAUUGGGACCACUGCGGCUUCACUGCCACUCUGCGCGCGUGCAAGCGCUCAACUACACGGGGCGUGCUGCACGCACUCCCACUGCUACCUUGAACGCACCGCUUUAUUCCACCAGCCAAGGGCCUUCGGCUUACCUACGAGGCCGGUGCCAUCCGUGCCAGCCGCGGACCUUGCGGAGAGGACAACUCCAGCGCUACCUAUAACGCUGCCGGACACAGGAGAUACAGACCUUCACUGCCGGAGGCCUGACACCUCUGUGCCACAUCGCCGAAACAGCUCCUCUGCCGAUACCAGCAAUACCAGCGGUCGCAAGGGUGCAAUUAAAGUUGUGUGGAUCAUCACAGAUCAUCACAGAUAUUAGACUGGUCUGCAGCUAAGCUGCUACAGGAUGACUCGCCAAACAUUAUCGUGGGAGGAGACCGGAACACAGUGGCGAAUACGGUAGAGGAUAGGAGGAGGACACAGAGGUUACACCCGGGAACUUCCAGAGAGGAACGUAUGCUGCCAGAUUUACUCAUGUCCAUGUCCUUGACAGAUGUAUGGAGCAGCAGAGCAGUGGAGGUGACAGCACACAAGAGCAGGUAGCAGGUCACAAAGGAUCUGUUUGAUGUAAAG